AAGAAAGAAGCAUAAGUGGUUUAGUAUGCAAUUGGCUUGAAACCAACGAGUGAGGGUUCGACUCCUU
RNAcentral lists this transfer RNA (67 nucleotides) under Cacatua moluccensis (salmon-crested cockatoo). RNAcentral describes it as "tRNA-Ser". Lineage: Eukaryota; Metazoa; Chordata; Aves; Psittaciformes; Cacatuidae. The record is from RNAcentral.